AACGAACGCUGGCGGCAUGCCUAACACAUGCAAGUCGAACGAGACCUUCGGGUCUAGUGGCGCACGGGUGCGUAACGCGUGGGAACCUGCCCUUAGGUUCGGAAUAACUCCCCGAAAGGGGUGCUAAUACCGGAUAAUGUCUUCGGACCAAAGAUUUAUCGCCUUUGGAUGGGCCCGCGUUGGAUUAGCUAGUUGGUAGGGUAAAAGCCUACCAAGGCGACGAUCCAUAGCUGGUCUGAGAGGAUGAUCAGCCACACUGGGACUGAGACACGGCCCAGACUCCUACGGGAGGCAGCAGUGGGGAAUAUUGGACAAUGGGCGAAAGCCUGAUCCAGCAGUGCCGCGUGAGUGAUGAAGGCCUUAGGGUUGUAAAGCUCUUUUACCCGGGAUGAUAAUGACAGUACCGGGAGAAUAAGCGCCGGCUAACUCCGUG
Molecule: ribosomal RNA, 433 nt
Filed under: uncultured bacterium
Lineage: Bacteria
Description: partial 16S ribosomal RNA
Rfam family: Bacterial small subunit ribosomal RNA
Source: RNAcentral